Molecule: long non-coding RNA, 2245 nt
Filed under: Homo sapiens (human)
Lineage: Eukaryota; Metazoa; Chordata; Mammalia; Primates; Hominidae
Description: HSALNT0197572
Source: RNAcentral
UGUGAAUUCUCCCGUCUCACCCCACAAAUCCUAACGGGCACCCGCGAGCUUUCUCGUCUCGACUUUCACACAGCAAAUGUCCAGGCUUCGGAGGUCACUGUCACAUCCCAAGAACCCCCUUCACCAGGUGCCACUCUUGAGACUGGACUGAAGCCCCCUGGAGAGUUCCACUUGCCUUUGUCCUGCUGCCUGAGGUGAGGACAUGGACGGCCGGGUACAAGACGGGGCAGGCAACCUCGCAGUGGUGGUAACCCUGUGCAUGAACCCUGGGCCUGGCACGUGGACCUCCUGUGACCGUCCCCACAGGCCCGUGAGGCUGAGCUUGGCACUGCCCAAGACCACACAGUCCAUGCGCGGUGGAGCUGGGGUCCAGGCUGCCCACCAGGGCAGUGACUACAAUGGUGGCAGCAGGGGACGGUCACCGUCAUGAGCUCAAGCCAGGCGCUGCACUGACCUUGAGGGAGGGCUCCAUGCUUCCCCUUCCCACAGCUGCAGUGAGGCCUAGCAGAGCAGGGUCGGCUGCGGGCUUGAGUCCUGGGGUGCCCCUGGGCUGACGGGCCCUGCCUGACCUGCUCCUCCAGUGCCCCAGCCCUGCCCCACCCACGUCCCCUCCUCUCACUGCCCCCUGGCCCACUCCGCUGCGGUCUCAGUGCCUUCCCAGGCUGGGCAUCAUCUGAUGGGAGGAAAAUGAGGGCCCCAGACUCUGUGUCAUCCUGGCAGGACCCCUCCCCUCCCAUGGCUUUGAGCCCAUGAGAUGGCCUUGGACAAAGCGGCAAUGGGCCCUUCCUGAGACACAGUGCGGCCAUCUACUGGAAAACUGCCCAGUGUGACUCUGAUGACUGUGAUGUGAAUCCUACAGCAAAGUUGAGCAGUGCGCAACCUGGGCUACUGCACCUGGCAGCCCCGGCUCCUCCUCGUCUGCCUCUUCCUGCUCCUUCAUUCUCCCCCAGAGCUCUAAUUGUCACUGAGAUUUUAUGUUUCAUUUAACAAAUGACUGUCUCCCCGCUUGAACAGAACCUCCAUGGGGGGAGGGAAGAGUGUCUGUUGUAUAAAUAGUUGUAUUUCAGUGCAUAAAACAGUGCCUGCCUCAAAGGGAGGACUCAGUCAAUAUCUGUUGAAUGAAUGAAUGAAUAAUUGCCUGGGUCAACGAAUGAAUGGCUGAAUGAAUGAUUUCUCCUUUCCCUCGGCACUGUCUGGAGUCCCCAGGACAGGCAUGGGCAGCAGUCGCUGGUCUGUGGCCUGUCCCACUGGACUUGGGGUUCUCAUGCUUGGUCUGGGCGGAGAUCACCCACCAGGCUCCCAGGUCGAUCCUCUGCUCAUGGGAAGCUGCGUCCGGCCCAGCUGCCAGGAGCUCACUGCAGGGUGGAGGGAAGAGCAGGGACGAUCUGCGAGCGCCUGAACAGCGCACAAGAGCCGAGGAGCCGCUGCUUAAAAUGCAGGCGUUGAGAGGAGUUUCGCCUCCUUUUUUGAGUUGAAUAUGAGAUUUCCGAGCAGCCAUGACGAGUUGGGUUGGUGGAAGUGGGGAGUCCGUUCCUCAGUCAGAUGGAGGAGGGGGUCCCCUUGGAUCUCCUCUCGGGGCUCGAACCCUGAUACUUCAAGGUCUCUUCCCACCUGCCCUUGGUGGAUCUGGAAAGCUCCUGGGAACAGGGUGGGUCUUCCUUGUUUUAAAGGUUGUAAGUUGAGAGCACCUCACAUAACUGCCUGGGGCGGCUCUGACGGGCCUCAGUCUGCUUGUGAUGUCACACAGGAAGCCCCUGGGGACUGGGCCGCUCAAGUCCUCCUGGGUCAGACCAGAUCACUGGGCCUGUGGGUUCCGCAGUGAGUCCAGCAUCGUUUCCUGUGCAGUGACCCAGGCCGGGUCCCCAUGGGCUCUGACUAGGGGACAGUGGGACUCGGGGUUGGGGGGCCUGCUUGAGUCAUGGCUUCACUGUCCACUGUGACUGGGGACCCCCAGGGGGAUUUCUGGGGACGCAUUCACCUACUGCACUGGGGUUUCUCUUUCAGAACCACAACACCCUGGAAGGCAAGAAAUGGGGAGCUGCAUCUGCAUCCACAGGGUCCCACCAGCCUGGAACAUCCCCGCUGGUCUAGAAUCCCACCCCACACACCCCGCUGAUCCUGGGCCCGUCCCUGUGACCAGGAGACGGAGUCCAGGGACUCCCCAGGCCUGGGCCACGCGACUGCCCUAAGAGCCUGGCAUCAGGGAGCAGUGCUGUGUGCACCCCCAGGUCCACUGAGAGUAGGG